Long non-coding RNA from Cannabis sativa, 901 nucleotides. RefSeq lists it as uncharacterized. The transcript is spliced from 2 exons. Lineage: Eukaryota; Viridiplantae; Streptophyta; Magnoliopsida; Rosales; Cannabaceae. The record is from RefSeq and is a predicted model, not a curated record.
UAUUAUUUCAUCCAUAUACAUAAUUGUCAUACAAUUUUUAACCAUCUGAUCUGACCAUUAUUCCAUUUAAUUUCACUCACUCAUUCAUUCUCUCUCUCUCUCUCUCUCUCUAACUUCUCCUUACCCUCCAUUCCUACCAAUUAUUAAAUAAUAAUAACACAGCCACUCUUCUACAUGACACAUCUUAUUCUCUCUCUCUAAAUAUUCGACCAUAUAUAUAAAUACAUAUACUUUUAGGGCCAAACACACAUUUGACAAGCACACAUUUCCUAAAUAAAGAUAUAUGUAUAUAUAUAUAUAUACAUAUUAUCCUUCCCAACUAGUCUCUCCAUCUCCGCAGUAAAACAUGAACACGCAACUGAGCCUAAAUCUGCCGAGGCAGCCACUGCCACGUCAGCAUAGAGCCGAGACUCGACAACGAGAUUCUCUCUCGAGUAGUGAGACUGAAGAGGCGGAGACAGAAUCUUCCUCCUCCGCCUCUUCGUCGGCAUCUGAAUCAUCAGACAUGUCAAUUGACGGGUCUUGUGUGUCUUCAGAUGCCGAAGAAGACUCCGCCAUGAGCAGCCCCGAAACCAUCCGCACGGCAGCAGAACCGGUGGCGGCAGCCCCGAUGGUGCUGGCGGGGUGCCCACGGUGUCUGAUGUACGUGAUGUUGUCAGACUCUAAUCCCAAGUGCCCAAAAUGUAAGAGUACGGUCCUCUUGGAUUUUCUCAACCAAAGAUAAUAAUUAAGACCAGCGCCAACUGAUUAUGAAAAUUCAGAGAUCCAACACUACUAGCUACUACUUAAUUAUUCUAUAUAUAUGUACGUCCUAAUAAAUUAUACAUUUUAUUUUGUUCAAUCAAAAAAAAUAAAAUAAUGAUAAUAAUUAAUUUAAGCAUACGAAUGCUCUUGCUAGCUA